GAUGAAGAACGUAGCGAAAUGCGAUACUUGGUGUGAAUUGCAGAAUCCCGUGAACCAUCGAGUCUUUGAACGCAAGUUGCGCCCGAAGCCAUUUGGUUGAGGGCACGUCUGCCUGGGCGUCACAUAUCGUUGCCCGAUGCCUAUUGCACGGUGAUAGGAAAUUCUAGGGCGAAAGAUGGCUUCCCGUGAGCGUUGUUGCCUCGCGGUUGGUUGAAAAUUGAGUCCUUGGUAGGGUGUGCCAUGAUAGAUGGUGGUCGAGUUUGCACGAGACCGAUCAUGUGUGCGCUCCCCAAAAUAUGGACUCUUUGACCCCACACGCGUCUUUUGACGCUCAUGACGAGACCUCAGGUCAGGCGGGGCUACCCGCUGAGUUUAAGCAUAUCAAUAAGCGGAGGA
This 396-nucleotide unclassified non-coding RNA is filed under the name soil metagenome. RNAcentral's name for it is "partial contains 5.8S ribosomal RNA, internal transcribed spacer 2, and large subunit ribosomal RNA". The stretch from base 1 to 122 matches the Rfam family "5.8S ribosomal RNA", at positions 35 to 154 of the family's 154-position model. The record is from RNAcentral.